AGUGAACGCUGGCGGUAGGCCUAACACAUGCAAGUCGAACGAGUGGCGGACGGGUGAGGAAUACAUCUGAAUCUACUAUGUCGUGGGGGAUAACGUAGGGAAACUUACGCUAAUCCCGCAUCCGCUGGAAUGAGCCGAUGUGGGAUUAGCUAGUUGGGGGGGUAAAGGCCCAACAAGGCGACGCUCCGUAGCUGGUCUGAGAGGAUGAUCGUCCACACUGGAAUUGAGACACGGUCCAGACUCCUACGGGAGGCAGCAGUGGGGAAGAUUGGACAAUGGGCGCAAGCCUGAUCCAGCCAUACCGCGUGGGUGAAGAAGGCCUUCGGGUUGUAAAGCCCUUUUGUUGGGAAAGCGGUACCCAAAGAAUAAGCACCGGCUAACUUCGUGCCAGCAGCCGCGGUAAUAC
This 406-nucleotide ribosomal RNA is filed under the name uncultured bacterium. RNAcentral describes it as "partial 16S ribosomal RNA". It matches the Rfam family "Bacterial small subunit ribosomal RNA", at positions 29 to 526 of the family's 1533-position model. The record is from RNAcentral.